Molecule: ribosomal RNA, 550 nt
Filed under: uncultured crenarchaeote
Lineage: Archaea; Thermoproteati; Thermoproteota
Description: bacterial SSU rRNA
Rfam family: Archaeal small subunit ribosomal RNA
Source: RNAcentral
GGGGUGCAGCAGGCGCGAAACCUCUGCAAUAGGCGAAAGCCUGACAGGGUUACUCUGAGUGAUUUCCGUUAAGGAGAUCUUUUGGCACCUCUAAAAAUGGUGCAGAAUAAGGGGUGGGCAAGUCUGGUGUCAGCCGCCGCGGUAAUACCAGCACCCCGAGUGGUCGGGACGUUUAUUGGGCCUAAAGCAUCCGUAGCCGGUUCUACAAGUCUUCCGUUAAAUCCACCUGCUUAACAGAUGGGCUGCGGAAGAUACUAUGGAGCUAGGAGGCGGGAGAGGCAAGCGGUACUCGAUGGGUAGGGGUAAAAUCCGUUGAUCCAUUGAAGACCACCAGUGGCGAAGGCGGCUUGCCAGAACGCACUCGACGGUGGGGGAUGAAAGCUGGGGGAGCAAACCGGAUUAGAUACCCGGGUAGUCCCAGCUGUAAACGAUGCAGACUCGGUGAUGAAUAGGCUUCGUGCCUAUUCAGUGCCGCAGGGAAGCCGUUAAGUCUGCCGCCUGGGGAGUACGGUCGCAAGACUGAAACUUAAAGGAAUUGGCGGGGGAGCAC